GAUGAACGCUGGCGGCGUGCCUAAUACAUGCAAGUCGAGCGAACAGACGAGGAGCUUGCUCCUCUGACGUUAGCGGCGGACGGGUGAGUAACACGUGGAUAACCUACCUAUAAGACUGGGAUAACUUCGGGAAACCGGAGCUAAUACCGGAUAAUAUAUUGAACCGCAUGGUUCAAUAGUGAAAGACGGUUUUGCUGUCACUUAUAGAUGGAUCCGCGCCGCAUUAGCUAGUUGGUAAGGUAACGGCUUACCAAGGCAACGAUGCGUAGCCGACCUGAGAGGGUGAUCGGCCACACUGGAACUGAGACACGGUCCAGACUCCUACGGGAGGCAGCAGUAGGGAAUCUUCCGCAAAGGGCGAAAGCUUGACGGAGCAACGCCGCGUGAGUGAUGAAGGUCUUCGGAUCGUAAAACUCUGUUAUUAGGGAAGAACAAAUGUGUAAGUAACUAUGCACGUCUUGACGGUACCUAAUCAGAAGGCCACGGCUAACUACGUG
RNAcentral lists this ribosomal RNA (497 nucleotides) under uncultured bacterium. Its description in RNAcentral is "partial 16S ribosomal RNA". It matches the Rfam family "Bacterial small subunit ribosomal RNA", at positions 28 to 507 of the family's 1533-position model. The record is from RNAcentral.